GGUUAAGCGACUAAGCGUACACGGUGGAUGCCCUGGCAGUCAGAGGCGAUGAAGGACGUGCUAAUCUGCGAUAAGCGUCGGUAAGGUGAUAUGAACCGUUAUAACCGGCGAUUUCCGAAUGGGGAAACCCAGUGUGUUUCGACACACUAUCAUUAACUGAAUCCAUAGGUUAAUGAGGCGAACCGGGGGAACUGAAACAUCUAAGUACCCCGAGGAAAAGAAAUCAACCGAGAUUCCCCCAGUAGCGGCGAGCGAACGGGGAGCAGCCCAGAGCCUGAAUCAGUGUGUGUGUUAGUGGAAGCGUCUGGAAAGGCGCGCGAUACAGGGUGACAGCCCCGUACACAAAAAUGCACAUGCUGUGAGCUCGAUGAGUAGGGCGGGACACGUGGUAUCCUGUCUGAAUAUGGGGGGACCAUCCUCCAAGGCUAAAUACUCCUGACUGACCGAUAGUGAACCAGUACCGUGAGGGAAAGGCGAAAAGAACCCCGGCGAGGGGAGUGAAAAAGAACCUGAAACCGUGUACGUACAAGCAGUGGGAGCCUCUUUUAUGGGGUGACUGCGUACCUUUUGUAUAAUGGGUCAGCGACUUAUAUUCUGUAGCAAGGUUAACCGAAUAGGGGAGCCGAAGGGAAACCGAGUCUUAACUGGGCGUUAAGUUGCAGGGUAUAGACCCGAAACCCGGUGAUCUAGCCAUGGGCAGGUUGAAGGUUGGGUAACACUAACUGGAGGACCGAACCGACUAAUGUUGAAAAAUUAGCGGAUGACUUGUGGCUGGGGGUGAAAGGCCAAUCAAACCGGGAGAUAGCUGGUUCUCCCCGAAAGCUAUUUAGGUAGCGCCUCGUGAAUUCAUCUCCGGGGGUAGAGCACUGUUUCGGCAAGGGGGUCAUCCCGACUUACCAACCCGAUGCAAACUGCGAAUACCGGAGAAUGUUAUCACGGGAGACACACGGCGGGUGCUAACGUCCGUCGUGAAGAGGGAAACAACCCAGACCGCCAGCUAAGGUCCCAAAGUCAUGGUUAAGUGGGAAACGAUGUGGGAAGGCCCAGACAGCCAGGAUGUUGGCUUAGAAGCAGCCAUCAUUUAAAGAAAGCGUAAUAGCUCACUGGUCGAGUCGGCCUGCGCGGAAGAUGUAACGGGGCUAAACCAUGCACCGAAGCUGCGGCAGCGACGCUUAUGCGUUGUUGGGUAGGGGAGCGUUCUGUAAGCCUGUGAAGGUGUGCUGUGAGGCAUGCUGGAGGUAUCAGAAGUGCGAAUGCUGACAUAAGUAACGAUAAAGCGGGUGAAAAGCCCGCUCGCCGGAAGACCAAGGGUUCCUGUCCAACGUUAAUCGGGGCAGGGUGAGUCGACCCCUAAGGCGAGGCCGAAAGGCGUAGUCGAUGGGAAACAGGUUAAUAUUCCUGUACUUGGUGUUACUGCGAAGGGGGGACGGAGAAGGCUAUGUUGGCCGGGCGACGGUUGUCCCGGUUUAAGCGUGUAGGCUGGUUUUCCAGGCAAAUCCGGAAAAUCAAGGCUGAGGCGUGAUGACGAGGCACUACGGUGCUGAAGCAACAAAUGCCCUGCUUCCAGGAAAAGCCUCUAAGCAUCAGGUAACAUCAAAUCGUACCCCAAACCGACACAGGUGGUCAGGUAGAGAAUACCAAGGCGCUUGAGAGAACUCGGGUGAAGGAACUAGGCAAAAUGGUGCCGUAACUUCGGGAGAAGGCACGCUGAUAUGUAGGUGAAGUCCCUCGCGGAUGGAGCUGAAAUCAGUCGAAGAUACCAGCUGGCUGCAACUGUUUAUUAAAAACACAGCACUGUGCAAACACGAAAGUGGACGUAUACGGUGUGACGCCUGCCCGGUGCCGGAAGGUUAAUUGAUGGGGUCAGCGCAAGCGAAGCUCUUGAUCGAAGCCCCGGUAAACGGCGGCCGUAACUAUAACGGUCCUAAGGUAGCGAAAUUCCUUGUCGGGUAAGUUCCGACCUGCACGAAUGGCGUAAUGAUGGCCAGGCUGUCUCCACCCGAGACUCAGUGAAAUUGAACUCGCUGUGAAGAUGCAGUGUACCCGCGGCAAGACGGAAAGACCCCGUGAACCUUUACUAUAGCUUGACACUGAACAUUGAGCCUUGAUGUGUAGGAUAGGUGGGAGGCUUUGAAGUGUGGACGCCAGUCUGCAUGGAGCCGACCUUGAAAUACCACCCUUUAAUGUUUGAUGUUCUAACGUUGACCCGUAAUCCGGGUUGCGGACAGUGUCUGGUGGGUAGUUUGACUGGGGCGGUCUCCUCCUAAAGAGUAACGGAGGAGCACGAAGGUUGGCUAAUCCUGGUCGGACAUCAGGAGGUUAGUGCAAUGGCAUAAGCCAGCUUGACUGCGAGCGUGACGGCGCGAGCAGGUGCGAAAGCAGGUCAUAGUGAUCCGGUGGUUCUGAAUGGAAGGGCCAUCGCUCAACGGAUAAAAGGUACUCCGGGGAUAACAGGCUGAUACCGCCCAAGAGUUCAUAUCGACGGCGGUGUUUGGCACCUCGAUGUCGGCUCAUCACAUCCUGGGGCUGAAGUAGGUCCCAAGGGUAUGGCUGUUCGCCAUUUAAAGUGGUACGCGAGCUGGGUUUAGAACGUCGUGAGACAGUUCGGUCCCUAUCUGCCGUGGGCGCUGGAGAACUGAGGGGGGCUGCUCCUAGUACGAGAGGACCGGAGUGGACGCAUCACUGGUGUUCGGGUUGUCAUGCCAAUGGCACUGCCCGGUAGCUAAAUGCGGAAGAGAUAAGUGCUGAAAGCAUCUAAGCACGAAACUUGCCCCGAGAUGAGUUCUCCCUGACCCUUUAAGGGUCCUGAAGGAACGUUGAAGACGACGACGUUGAUAGGCCGGGUGUGUAAGCGCAGCGAUGCGUUGAGCUAACCGGUACUAAUGAACCGUGAGGCUUAACCUU
This 2904-nucleotide ribosomal RNA is filed under the name Escherichia coli. RNAcentral's name for it is "23S ribosomal RNA". It matches the Rfam family "Bacterial large subunit ribosomal RNA". The record is from RNAcentral. Lineage: Bacteria; Pseudomonadati; Pseudomonadota; Gammaproteobacteria; Enterobacterales; Enterobacteriaceae.